GACGAACGCUGGCGGCGUGCUUAACACAUGCAAGUCGAACGGGCCUGUCUUCUUUUUUGGGGGUGGGUUGAGUGGCGAACGGGUGAGUAUCACGUGAGUAACCUGCCCUUCGGUCCUGGAUAACCGCUUGAAAGGGCGGCUAAUACGGGGUGGUCCGGUUGGUCCGCAUGGGCUGGUCGGGAUAGAUUCACUGUUUUUGGUGUUUCGGCGGGGGAUGGGCUCGCGGCCUAUCAGCUUGUUGGUGGGGUGAUGGCCUACCAAGGCGGUGACGGGUAGCCGGCCGGAGAGGGUGGGCGGCCACACUGGGACUGGGAUACGGCCCAGACUCCUGCGGGAGGCAGCAGUGGGGGGUAUUGCACAAUGGGCGGAAGCCUGGUGCAGCGACGUCGCGUGAGGGAUGGAGGCCUUCGGGUUGUGAACCUCUGUUUCCGGUGGUGAAGGCCCUGUCCGUGUGGUGGGGUUGACGGUAGCCGGGGAUGAAGCGCCGGCUAACUACGUG
Molecule: ribosomal RNA, 499 nt
Filed under: uncultured bacterium
Lineage: Bacteria
Description: partial 16S ribosomal RNA
Rfam family: Bacterial small subunit ribosomal RNA
Source: RNAcentral